Molecule: long non-coding RNA, 2892 nt
Filed under: Rattus norvegicus (Norway rat)
Lineage: Eukaryota; Metazoa; Chordata; Mammalia; Rodentia; Muridae
Description: long non-coding RNA NONRATT026643
Source: RNAcentral
AUAAACUAACUUUUAACCAGAGGUACUAAAUUGUAAAAUCUUCAAAAGUAAAACUAUUUUCAUUAUUCAGAAAGCACUCAUUAUUUAUCCCAACAUUCUAAGUAACUCACAUAGACUAAAUUUCUCAGUAUAAACAAGUAAAUAUAUCACACGUUAAUCAAAUACAGUUAAAGUACAACAGUAAUAUCGUUGCACAAAACAAUAGUUUAAUGAACUAAGUAAGGUCAAGGUGAUUAAAAAAGAAAAUGGGGAAGGGAACGAAACAAGAUGGGAGAAAUGCAAAUUUGAGGCUAGUUUGGGCAAUGUAGGAUCUUGUCUUAAAAGAAUAAGAAAAUAAAAUCUAAAAAGACUACAAGGUCUAUCAGUAUAUACAAUUUUAAAAAUUUCUAAGUUUCUUCAGACAUCUGGUAUAAUCUACUUAUUGUGAUUAAAAGUGUGACUUAAAUUCACAAAAGCAAAAAAACAUCUAUAGUAUAAAGUCAAGUUAUAAAAAUUAUUAGAUAUUUUAAAUUUUUAUUACAGUUUCAUUCUCUUAGUGAAUGUAGUGUAGUGUGUAUAUGUGUGAGUUACACAUAUAUAAGCCUUUAUAGAGAGAGGACAACUUGUGGAUACUAGGUUCUCUCCUUCUGGCAUAUGGGUCCCAUAGAUUGAACUCUGACCUAGUAUUUUGCUUUUCAAGACAAAGUCUCAUCCCAAUACAGGCAAGGCUCACCUCAAACUCCCUAAUCCCAUCUCAAGCUUAGAGGAAUGUGCCAUAACACUUAGCUAAAAAGUUUUAAAACAUUUAGUACUCAUUCACAAAAUAUAUUAUAUCCUAUUGCCUAUUAUGUAGAAAAUACUAUUUUGUGGAGAACUAAAAUAAAAAAAUGAGUGUUUUCUUUUUUUCCAAUCAGAAAAAUAUGUAAACAACAUAAUUUUAUAAGAAUGGAAAUGCAACUUCUGUAGCUAUCUAGUGGGAUAUAUGAAUAAUUCCUGUUUAGUUAACAAAAAGUAUACUAUUUCAUUAAUUAAAAGGGAACUUAAAAUAUUCUAGAGGAAUAGUUACCAAAGUAUGGAAAUACGUAAGUCUGUGGAUUCAGAGAAAGCAAUUAUGUAGAUAAUUUGGAGUAAUGUACAUGUAUAGUUUAUAUAACUAAAAAUGUACAAGGGACAACAACUACAGGUACAUUUUCAGGAAGGAGAUGUUUUAUUAAGAUUAUAGGGCAGAGUCAAAGAAUAGACUGAAGAAAAGAGAAAUCAGUUAAAAGAGUUUUCAUAGGACAAAAUGUGAUGAGAAAGUGAAAUAGUACAAGCAAAGAGUGAACAAAUGUACUAAAUUGCAGAAAUUAAAGAAAUGAACCACUGUAGAAGUAUGAAUCCUAGAAUUUGAGAACAAAAUAAAAGAUAAACAGGAUAUAGAGAGCAGGGCUUUAAUCCCAGCCCUCAAGAGGCAGAAGCAGAGGCAGAGGCAGGCAGAUCUAUAAGUUCAAGGACAGCCUGAUCUACAGAGUAAGUUCCAGGACUGCCAGGACUACACAGAGAAACCUUCUCAAAAAAUAAAUAACGAAAACCCAGAUAUGGAGGAGUUAAAAUUUUACUGAAGUUUCUACCAAAAUAGUAACAUUUAGUGAUAAUAUUAGAAGAAAUCUUUAAGUUCAUCCUCAAGUCCUACCAAUUAAAUUGUUCUUAAGGGACACUAGAGCAAGUUGAUAAGGUCUCUUGGAAAUACUUUAAAAAUUAACUUUUAUGUUCGUAUUUAUCUUUAAAACUACUUACUAUUAGGGAAUGGUUUUCUAGUAUGUGUAUAGGUCAAGAGAUAAUUCUUAAUUUAGAAAGUUUUAAUCCUCAACUGUGUUAAAUUUUGGGAUAACUCCUCUCAUAUAUAAGUUGGUAUAUAUAGUCAUUGUGGUUAUUGGAAUAAUUUUAAAAGCUAAUAUGCUAGACAAGACCUAUAAUACAUUUGAAAAUAAGGGAAUAAUUCCAGUAGAUUCUUCCUAUUGAAAAUACACUAGGAGUAUGUGGAUAAAAGGACUGCGGAAAUAACCUUAAUAUAUACAUAUACAUAUAUACAUACAUUUACAUAUCAUACACACACACAUAUAUUUAUAUAGAGAGAGUGUCUUACUAUUUUCAGUGAAACAGCACAAUGGCUAAAAAGUGUUAUUUAAUAAAGUAUGGACUUAAUGUAUAAGAACUUUUUAAGGUAAAACUCCUACUUUGACAUUUCCUGUCUUGAAUAAUCUUCACAGGACCACAGGACAUUGGAAUUUUACAGACAUAUUUAUCACUUUGGUCACAAACAAUACAAAAUAAAAGAAAUUUUAAAAAUUAAAACAUAUUUCCCAUAAAUUUGCAAAAAAUACUUAAAUUAUGUGUUAUAAGAAUAUAUGUUAGGGGCAAGAGAUGGCUCAGUGGUUAAGAAUACUUGUUCUUAUAAAGGAUUUAGGUUUGAUUUCCAGCACCUACAUGGCAGGUCCUAACCAUCUGUAAUGUUAAAGGAUCUACUACCCUUUGCUGACUUCUGUGGGCAGUAGGCAUGUACAUGGUAUACAGACAUACAUAUAAAAAACACUCAUAUACAAUAUUAAAAAAGAAUAUGUUAGCUGGAUGUUGACACCAGCACUUGGAAAGAAAAGGUAAAAGAAUCUCUGUGAGUUUGAAGCCAGCCUACUCUACACAGCAAGUUCCAGGCCAGCCAGGCAAUAUAAUGAGCCUUGUUUCAAACAAAAACAAAGGAGAUACACAAUAAAACAAAAACAUGUUACUAUGUAUAACUCACCUUUAUGAACUGCUCAUGUAGCUGUUUGAUUGCUUUCAUUCUCUGGCUCUGAACAAUUCUAGUCUGCUGAAAAAUCUUUUGCUGUUGUCGAAAAAGAUUCUAUAAACAUUAAAAAAAUGUAAUAAUGACUUGGU